This 290-nucleotide ribosomal RNA is filed under the name uncultured Bacillus sp. RNAcentral describes it as "partial 16S ribosomal RNA". It matches the Rfam family "Bacterial small subunit ribosomal RNA", at positions 925 to 1216 of the family's 1533-position model. Lineage: Bacteria; Bacillati; Bacillota; Bacilli; Caryophanales; Bacillaceae. The record is from RNAcentral.
ACAAGCGGUGGAGCAUGUGGUUUAAUUCGAAGCAACGCGAAGAACCUUACCAGGUCUUGACAUACUCGUGCUAUCCUUAGAGAUAAGGAGUUCCUUCGGGACACGGGAUACAGGUGGUGCAUGGUUGUCGUCAGCUCGUGUCGUGAGAUGUUGGGUUAAGUCCCGCAACGAGCGCAACCCUUAUUACUAGUUGCCAUCAUUAAGUUGGGCACUCUAGUGAGACUGCCGGUGAUAAACCGGAGGGAGGUGGGGAUGACGUCAAAUCAUCAUGCCCCUUAUGACCUGGGCUA